CUAGUAGUAGUAGUGCCCAGAAUAGAGCCAGCUGUGUGUAAGGCUCUAAGGGAAAACAGAAUAGAACCAGCUGUGUAUAAGGCUCUAAGGGAAAACAGAAUAGAACCAGCAGUGUAUAAGGCUCUAAGGGAAAACAGAAUAGAACCAGCAGUGUCUAAGGCUCUAAGGGAAAACAGAAUAGAACCAGCAGUGUCUAAGGCUCUAAGGGAAAACAGAAUAGAACCAGCUGUGUGUAAGGCUCUAAGGGAAAACAGAAUAGAACCAGCUGUGUAUAAGGCUCUAAGGGAAAACAGAAUAGAACCAGCAGUGUAUAAGGCUCUAAGGGAAAACAGAAUAGAACCAGCAGUGUCUAAGGCUCUAAGGGAAAACAGAAUAGAACCAGCAGUGUGUAAGGGAAAACAGAAUAGAACCAGCAGUGUCUAAGGGAAAACAGAAUAGAACCAGCUGUGUGUAAGGGAAAACAGAAUAGAACCAGCAGUGUGUAAGGCUCUAAGGGAAAACAGAAUAGAACCAGCUGUGUAUAAGGCUCUAAGGGAAAACAGAAUAGAACCAGCAGUGUAUA
Molecule: long non-coding RNA, 562 nt
Organism: Oncorhynchus tshawytscha (Chinook salmon)
Lineage: Eukaryota; Metazoa; Chordata; Actinopteri; Salmoniformes; Salmonidae
Source: Ensembl